RNAcentral lists this transfer RNA (62 nucleotides) under Pseudocapillaria tomentosa. RNAcentral describes it as "tRNA-Met". The record is from RNAcentral. Lineage: Eukaryota; Metazoa; Nematoda; Enoplea; Trichinellida; Capillariidae.
AGUAAUAUAAGCUAAAUUUAAGCUAUUGGGCUCAUACCUCAAAUAUACGAAAGUUAUUACUA